Long non-coding RNA from Ictalurus punctatus (channel catfish), 2053 nucleotides. The record is from Ensembl. NCBI's taxonomy places the organism in Eukaryota, Metazoa, Chordata, Actinopteri, Siluriformes, Ictaluridae.
CUCAACAUUGACUUCACCUGACCACACUAACGCUCUAGUGGCUGAAUGGACAAAUCUCCAUCACCACUCUCCAAAAAUACAGUGGAACGCCUUCCCAGAAGAGUGGAGGUUAUCGUAACAGAAAAGGGCUGGAUUAACAUUGGAUUUUGUCAUAGGUGUGGCUCAUCCGGUGUCCACAAACUUUUGAGCAUAUAGUGAAUACUGUACAUCGCACGUCAUGCACACGUUGAAUACGGAGAAUACCGUAAUCCUGUAAGAUAGUUUUAACACUAAACAUCAUUAGGCCAGUCAAAUUAGCACAAUUCGCUCCAACACAUCCCUGAAAAGGUGUUACAUGAAACCAUUUAGAAGUGUAACAUCUACUGCAGUCUUUUACAUGUAAUAAGGAAUAAUGAAAGUAGCAACCUGCUAGGAAGGUUCGCACCCUUAAAUUACCCCCGUGUGUAAUCUGUAAUCCAUUUCCUCAAGUGUAAAGUAUGCAAUCUGCACAAGUAGUUGCACACUGACAGCCAAUAUGUUGAUAAUAGCAUGUCCUCAUUACCAAGGUAGCUCGUCCAGCCUUCUUUAUUAUCGGUGUGAUUCAUAGGGAUCUGCUCGAACCAUAAUUAUGAGAGAAGAGCCUAUGACCAAUUAUUCAUAAGUCCCAUUCCUGAAGCUGAUGAGGCAGUGCCAUGUCCAUUUCACCCAGCAAGCCUGAUGAGAGGCGCAAAGGUGCUGGAUCCUCUGCAAAGGACAGUUCAAAUGCUACUGGGAUGUGAACAAAGAUCCCAGAUAGGGGCAAAAUUUGAUUAACAGACCUAUACUCGCACAGGUAGCGCCCUGAAUCUUUGCUGUUGGUGUCCUCCAGCAUUUUCUCGAGAACAAUCUUUGCCUCGUGGUUUGGAGAACACUAGUGUUCAAUGACAGGAACUGAAGGUGAAGUAACAUAUCCAAUAGUUUUUCUAACGUGACUCAAACUCAGGUACGACAGUGUGGUUGGAUUCCUCUAAUCUGAUUGGUGUGAAGGUAUGGAUUCAUUUAAAAAAUUAAUUAAUAAAUAACGGGAGCUCUGACAGUAGUGUUGACUGCAAGCAAACUUGGCCUAAUGCCGUCAUUAUAAACUGCUACCGUUUCUUUAAUAACAAUUUACACAUAAACAGAUUGAAAAAUGUUCAAGUGUUUAUAUGGUGAAGUGUUGUGUUAGGAGAUGUUUAUUUAAUACUUUUUUUUAAAGGAGUCUCCAGUGUUAGCACUUUGUACCAGUCAGAGGUAAAGCUGUAACUUAAGUUCCCUCUCAAAGGGAACUUCGACGUUGCGUUUAGCAUAACACUAUGGGAAGGCUAAACGCAACGUCUCGGUUACAUGCGUAACCCAGACGUUCCCUUUCAAAGGGAACUUCGACGUUGCGUUUAGCCUUCCCAUAGUGGAAUAGGGUUGCGUGCGUAACCCAGAUGUUUUCUUUUUCUAUGUACUGUAAGUCUUAAGAAGAGACGGUUUUGUGGUUGCUUGAUAACCUGACAAGCUGCAUUUUUUUUUGUCUUCAAGACAGUUGGCGAGGAAAUGAGAGAACCUGUUUCCAGCCAUUAUAAUGUAAAUGAUACCAGGAACUAACCUGUUUCCACAGGACACUCCACAACAGUAAAUGUGCAGGACGUAUUGUUUUACAAUAAACAAAUUAUGCAAUUUAAAAAUGACUCUGGUACCGUGGAAUAAAACGCUUCAGGACUUGCUGUUAUUAGAAAAUGAUCAACUUCGGGAUGGUAACUGUAACACUGUGUGGGUAUUUUCCUAUGACCACACCCCACUGUAUUUUAUUCAUUACUUUAGUUCUAACUGUUGUUUAUUAACAUUAAGAAAGUUGACCAGAAUAGAAUUCCAUUAAUGACAUUUUACUGUUGAAAUUUGAGAUGAUCAAGGCUAAAGAUAAGAACCAAAUGCUGACAGCAACUCUGCAUUAAGGCUCUCAUCCAAGAUGGGGACAGAUGUUUUCAUUUCUUCACUGCUUUUUACUAGCAGAGUGCCUCAGGUUCAGUUCUCUUGUGCUCUCUGACCCAAGGAGACAAACAGAGCUUCU